GCAGGCCCAGGUCAAGAGGAGCUGCGGAAGCUGGAGAGCACCCUUACAGGCCUGGAGCAGAGCCGGGAGAGGCAGGAGCGUCGCAUCCAGGUCAGCUUGAGGAAGUGGGAGCGGUUUGAGACAAACAAGGAGACGGUGGUCAGAUAUCUCUUCCAGACAGGUUCCAGCCAUGAGCGCUUCCUGAGCUUCAGCAGUUUGGAAAGCCUGUCGUCAGAGCUGGAGCAGACAAAGGAGUUUUCUAAGAGGACGGAAAGUAUUGCCACCCAGGCUGAAAACCUUGUCAAGGAAGCCGCAGAGAUGCCACUGGGGCCCAGGAAUAAGCGCCUGCUUCAGCAGCAGGCCAAGUCAAUCAAGGAGCAGGUCAAAACUCUAGAAGACACACUAGAAGAAGAGUAUGUGCUUCACAACUUCUAAACUUUCCUCUCUGGGAUACAAUCCCAAUAGUGUCUCCUGUGUCUUCUAUUCCAGUCUUUCGGAAAUCUCAACUUGCCAUCUGUGUGUUUCAAACUGUCUCAAGGAAGCAACUCAGUUCAAAAGAAAAGUGUCCUCAGUCCAGGGACUGGUAUCCAUAAUAACAAAAGGAUAUGAGGGAUUUGGUGUUUGCAUCUUGAAAUGGGAUAUUCAUCACUAAGCCAUAUCUAUUCAUUUCUGUGGCCUUCACAUAACACAGAGGCAGUCUAAAAACUAACCUGCAACUUUUUCUCCUUUUUCCUAUUUCAUUAUACUGCCACCAGUUAGAAGUGGGAUUUUCUGACAGCGU
This 760-nucleotide long non-coding RNA is filed under the name Rattus norvegicus (Norway rat). RNAcentral's name for it is "long non-coding RNA NONRATT002103". The record is from RNAcentral. Lineage: Eukaryota; Metazoa; Chordata; Mammalia; Rodentia; Muridae.